UAGGGAAUCUUCCGCAAUGGGCGAAAGCCUGACGGAGCAACGCCGCGUGAGUGAUGAAGGUCUUCGGAUCGUAAAACUCUGUUAUUAGGGAAGAACAAAUGUGUAAGUAACUAUGCACAUCUUGACGGUACCUAAUCAGAAAGCCACGGCUAACUACGUGCCAGCAGCCGCGGUAAUACGUAGGUGGCAAGCGUUAUCCGGAAUUAUUGGGCGUAAAGCGCGCGUAGGCGGUUUUUUAAGUCUGAUGUGAAAGCCCACGGCUCAACCGUGGAGGGUCAUUGGAAACUGGAAAACUUGAGUGCAGAAGAGGAAAGUGGAAUUCCAUGUGUAGCGGUGAAAUGCGUAGAUAUAUGGAGGAACACCGGUGGCGAAAGCGGCUCUCUGGUCUGUAACUGACGCUGAGGCUCGAAAGCGUGGGGAGCGAACAGG
RNAcentral lists this ribosomal RNA (429 nucleotides) under Bacteroidota bacterium. RNAcentral's name for it is "Bacteroidetes bacterium partial 16S ribosomal RNA". It matches the Rfam family "Bacterial small subunit ribosomal RNA", at positions 355 to 776 of the family's 1533-position model. The record is from RNAcentral. Lineage: Bacteria; Pseudomonadati; Bacteroidota.